Molecule: ribosomal RNA, 253 nt
Filed under: uncultured bacterium
Lineage: Bacteria
Description: partial 16S ribosomal RNA
Rfam family: Bacterial small subunit ribosomal RNA
Source: RNAcentral
UACGUAGGGCGCAAGCGUUAUCCGGAAUUAUUGGGCGUAAAGAGCUCGUAGGCGGGUUGUCGCGUCUGCCGUGAAAGUCCGGGGCUCAACUCCGGAUCUGCGGUGGGUACGGGCAGACUAGAGUGAUGUAGGGGAGACUGGAAUUCCUGGUGUAGCGGUGAAAUGCGCAGAUAUCAGGAGGAACACCGAUGGCGAAGGCAGGUCUCUGGGCAUUAACUGACGCUGAGGAGCGAAAGCAUGGGGAGCGAACAGG